UUGGAGGGCAAGUCUGGUGCCAGCAGCCGCGGUAAUUCCAGCUCCAAUAGCGUAUAUUAAAGUUGUUGCAGUUAAAAAGCUCGUAGUUGAAUUUCGGGAUCAAUGUUUCGGUCAUGCCGUUGGUAUGUACUGAUAUUAUUGAUUUCUCACCUUCUAAAGAACCGUAAUGCCAUUAAUUUGGUGUCACGGGGAAUUAGGACUGUUACCUUGAAAAAAUUAGAGUGUUUAAAGCAGGCUCACGCUUGAAUACAUUAGCAUGGAAUAAUGAAAUAGGACAUCCGAUUCUAUUUUGUUGGUUUCUAGGAUCGAUGUAAUGAUUAAUAGGGAUAGUUGGGGGCAUUAGUAUUCAAUUGUCAGAGGUGAAAUUCCUGGAUUUAUUGAAGACUAACUACUGCGAAAGCAUUUGCCAAGGAUGUUUUCAUUAAUCAAGAACGAAAGUUAGGGGAUCGAAGACGAUCAGAUACCGUCGUAGUCUUAACCAUAAACUAUGCCGACUAGGGAUCGGAUGAUGUUAAUUUUUUAAUGACUCAUUCGGCGCCUUACGGGAAAC
This 550-nucleotide ribosomal RNA is filed under the name uncultured Funneliformis. RNAcentral describes it as "SSU rRNA". It matches the Rfam family "Eukaryotic small subunit ribosomal RNA", at positions 548 to 1098 of the family's 1831-position model. Lineage: Eukaryota; Fungi; Glomeromycota; Glomeromycetes; Glomerales; Glomeraceae. The record is from RNAcentral.